UCAAAAUCCUCAUCCUCCUGGUCAUCAUCUUGUCCACCUUGAGGCCAAGCCAUCGCACUAUGGAACUCGUCCAUAGUCCACCUGUGUACUGGUGGCUGAUCAUAUAUUCCUACAAUCAUCUCGGCAGUGGCCACCUGCCCUCUGCGAAGGGACUUCAUCCUCGCCUCCAUCAUGGACAUGUACAUGUCCCUCAUCUGAAAAGGCUCAGGCUGUUAUGCCG
Molecule: long non-coding RNA, 220 nt
Filed under: Vigna radiata
Lineage: Eukaryota; Viridiplantae; Streptophyta; Magnoliopsida; Fabales; Fabaceae
Description: long non-coding RNA (VRAD_LNC017653)
Source: RNAcentral